GAAUCAAGCUUUGAAACAAAAGGUUCCCGCCAUAUGCAAAAGCUAGAUAAGAUAGGGGAGUGACAUCAUCUUGGUUCUUCACUGACUCUCCCACACCCAAGGAGACUCCUGGAAAUGCUCGAAGAACAAAGACUGAAUUGGGGGAAAUGCUAGACCCAGGCUAAAGGGGUUUUUAGCUGGUGAAUGGAAGACCUAGGGAUUCCAAGCUGUAAGCAAGUGCAGCUUCCCCUUAAGAAUCUGCAGCCUGCUUAUAUCAUUAUUUAGGUAAACGAAGAAUCGUAUUGAUGGUCCAAUUUCUCCACACCCAGAACAUAACCAUGGCCACCAGCACUUGAGCUAAGAAAUUAAUUUCUUUAACUGUUGAACUCUCAAGUGACUGGAGAAUGAGCUAUGAUCUCAGAAAACUCACACACAGUUCCAGACCCAGCUUCAGGGACAACAGAACCAUACGCU
Long non-coding RNA from Mauremys mutica (yellowpond turtle), 453 nucleotides. RefSeq lists it as uncharacterized. The record is from RefSeq and is a predicted model, not a curated record. The transcript has 3 exons. NCBI's taxonomy places the organism in Eukaryota, Metazoa, Chordata, Testudines, Geoemydidae.